Molecule: long non-coding RNA, 268 nt
Filed under: Mytilus galloprovincialis (Mediterranean mussel)
Lineage: Eukaryota; Metazoa; Mollusca; Bivalvia; Mytilida; Mytilidae
Source: RNAcentral
GUAAAACUAUCAUCAAGGAAAUCUUAGAUCAGGUAUUUGUUGGAGUUGUAAUGUGUGUGGCUUGGUUUCAGUUUCAGUAAUAUUGAUCAUGACUUCAUUUUCUUUACUUUCAUUUGGUUUUAUUGGCGAGGGGGUUUUAGCUGGUUUAAAGGUGUAAUAAUUAAUGUUGGGUUGUGUAUAUUGGAUAUCAAAUUGUGGAACUUCAUAGUCAUCUUCCAAGUAUAAUGGGUCAAGAUAUUCGUUAAAGACGGCAGAGUAGGGAUCCAUG